RNAcentral lists this ribosomal RNA (1259 nucleotides) under metagenome. RNAcentral describes it as "SSU rRNA". It matches the Rfam family "Eukaryotic small subunit ribosomal RNA", at positions 499 to 1785 of the family's 1831-position model. The record is from RNAcentral.
AGGCCGGUCAUCGGAAUGGGUACAGUUUAAACCCUUUAACGAGUAUCUAUGAGAGGGCAAGUCUGGUGCCAGCAGCCGCGGUAAUUCCAGCUCUCAAAGUGCAUAGAAUUAUUGCUGCGGUUAAAAAGCUCGUAGUUGGAUCUGUGCCAUAGGACGGGGUCUUUCCUAACGGAUUUGUACUUCGCUCCUAGGCUUUUCAGUCGGUUUUCCCGUAAUUGCAUUCAUUUGUCGUUGCGGGUGGCUGACGAGUUUACUUUGAGAAAAUCAGAGUGCUCAAUACAGGCGUCUAGCUUGAAUGAUUGUGCAUGGAAUAAUAGAAAAGGAUUUCGGUCCUCUUUUAUUGGUUUUGUGGACUGAGAUAAUGGUUAACAGGGACAAACGGAGGCAUUCGUAUCGCUGCGUGAGAGGUGAAAUUCUUGGACCGUAGCGAGACGCCCUACUGCGAAAGCAUUUGCCAAGAAUGUCUUCAUUAAUCAAGAACGAAAGUCAGAGGUUCGAAGGCGAUCAGAUACCGCCCUAGUUCUGACCGUAAACGAUGCCAACUAGCGAUCUGCCGGUGGAUUUUUAGCCCUGGUAGGUAGCUUCCCGGAAACGAAAGUCUUCCGGUUCCGGGGGAAGUAUGGUUGCAAAGCUGAAACUUAAAGGAAUUGACGGAAGGGCACCACCAGGAGUGGAGCCUGCGGCUUAAUUUGACCCAACACGGGGAAACUCACCCGGCCCGGACACCGUAAGGAUUGACAGAUUGAUAGCUCUUUCAUGAUUCGGUGGUUGGUGGUGCAUGGCCGUUCUUAGUUCGUGGAUCGAUUUGUCUGGUUUAUUCCGAUAACGAGCGAGACUCUAGCCUACUAAAUAGUAACGAGAUUGCCAUUGUCUUAGUUGCUUCUUAGAGGGAUUUUCGGUGUUUAGCCGCACGAGAUUGAGCAAUAACAGGUCUGUGAUGCCCUCAGAUGUCCGGGGCUGCACGCGCGCUACACUGGCAAAAUCAGCGUGCUGUAUCCAUUCUCGAAAGGGAUUGGUAAACCCAUGAAAAUUUGCCGUGAUUGGGAUCGGAAAUUGCAAUUAUUUUCCGUGAACGAGGAAUUCCAAUAAGUGCGAGUCAUCAACUCGCUCUGAUUACGUCCCUGCCCUUUGUACACACCGCCCGUCGCUGCCCGGGACUGAGCCAUUUCGAGAAGAUCAGGGACCGAUGAAUUGUGGCCUCUUCGCGGAGGUUCGGUUCGUUGGAAACUGAUUUGAUCGCAGUGGCUUGAACCGGGCAA